UCGUUCAAGUUGAUUAAGGGUGAGCC
RNAcentral lists this non-coding RNA (26 nucleotides) under Homo sapiens (human). Lineage: Eukaryota; Metazoa; Chordata; Mammalia; Primates; Hominidae. The record is from RNAcentral.